RNAcentral lists this ribosomal RNA (301 nucleotides) under uncultured bacterium. RNAcentral describes it as "partial 16S ribosomal RNA". It matches the Rfam family "Bacterial small subunit ribosomal RNA", at positions 509 to 807 of the family's 1533-position model. The record is from RNAcentral.
CAGUAGCCGCGGUAAUACGGAGGGGGCUAGCGUUGUUCGGAAUUACUGGGCGUAAAGCGCACGUAGGCGGCUAUUCAAGUCAGAGGUGAAAGCCCGGGGCUCAACCCCGGAACUGCCUUUGAAACUAGAUAGCUAGAAUCACGGAGAGGUAAGUGGAAUUCCGAGUGUAGAGGUGAAAUCCGUAGAUAUUCGGAAGAACACCAGUGGCGAAGGCGGCUUAUUGGACGUGAAUUGACGCUGAGGUGCGAAAGCGUGGGGAGCAAACAGGAUUAGAUACCCCGGUAGUCCCUGUCUCUUAUAC